AUGGGGCUUAUUCUUGUUCUUUCACAUAUCAGGCGUGGUGUGUGCACAAGAUUCAGGUCCUUUAUGGAUAUGCAAUACAUCCUUCUAUCAUUGGAACCAAGACAUAAGUAUUGUUCCUUGCCCUUUGAGCAGUUACUGACAGGCCUUUGGCAGCAACUGGAUGGGAGCAGGCGCUGGUGUCAGGGCUUGUCCUGGGCCCAGAGGUGCCAGUGGCUCAGGAUGGGACAUGCACUCCUGUCAUCCUCUGAAUGGGUGAAAAGGAGGCCUUUAUUAACCCCCCGGAGCUGUGCAGAGCACUUUUAUGAUGGAUGAAUGCACUUUUUUGGGCUUCAAAAUCUCGACCCUCAUUCACUGCCAUUAUAAAACUUGGAAGAGCCAGGACAUUUUUAAAUAAAACUCCAGUUGUGUUUGUCUGAAAGAAGACAGUAAUAUACUGUACACCUAGGAGGGUGACACCCUUUAAGGCCCUUGAAGGUUGAGGGUGAAGAACCGGACAUCCUUCUAGCAUGGCAAAAUAAACUAGAAAGGUGAAAUGAAUAAAAGAUGUUGUGGUUAACAUUACUUGAAGAUACUUUCACAUUUUGUUCUACAACAUACAGUGAAAUACGCAGUCAUACAUCAGACAUGUAUUUU
Cyprinus carpio carpio is the source of this 633-nucleotide long non-coding RNA. NCBI's taxonomy places the organism in Eukaryota, Metazoa, Chordata, Actinopteri, Cypriniformes, Cyprinidae. The record is from Ensembl.